This 419-nucleotide ribosomal RNA is filed under the name uncultured bacterium. RNAcentral describes it as "partial 16S ribosomal RNA". It matches the Rfam family "Bacterial small subunit ribosomal RNA", at positions 362 to 773 of the family's 1533-position model. The record is from RNAcentral.
UUUUGGACAAUGGGGGCAACCCUGAUCCAGCCAUGCCGCGUGUGUGAAGACGGUCUUCGGAUUGUAAAGCCCUUUAAGUUGGGAGGAAGGGCUUUAGGUUAAUACCCUGAAGUUUUGACGUUACCAAGCGAAUAAGCACCGGCUAACACUGUGCCAGCAGCCGCGGUAAUCCAGAGUGUGCAAGCGUGAAGCGGAACUAUUGGGCGUAAAGCGCGCGUAGGUGGUUCAGUAAGAUGGGUGUGAAAUCACCGGGCUUAACCUGGGAACUGCUUUCAUAACUGCUGAGCUAGAGUACGGUAGAGGGUAGUGGAAUUUCCUGUGUAGCGGUGAAAUGCGUAGAUAUAGGAAGGAACACCAGUGGCGAAGGCGACUACCUGGACUGAUACUGACACUGAGGUGCGAAAGCGUGGGGAGCAAAC